AGUGAACGCUGGCGGUAGGCCUAACACAUGCAAGUCGAACGGCAGCACAGUAAGAGCUUGCUCUUACGGGUGGCGAGUGGCGGACGGGUGAGGAAUACAUCGGAAUCUACUUUUUCGUGGGGGAUAACGUAGGGAAACUUACGCUAAUACCGCAUACUACCUACGGGUGAAAGCAGGGGAUCUUCGGACCUUGCGCGUUUGAAUGAGCCGAUGUCGGAUUAGCUAGUUGGCGGGGUAAAGGCCCACCAAGGCGACGAUCCGUAGCUGGUCUGAGAGGAUGAUCAGCCACACUGGAACUGAGACACGGUCCAGACUCCUACGGGAGGCAGCAGUGGGGAAUAUUGGACAAUGGGCGCAAGCCUGAUCCAGCAAUGCCGCGUGGGUGAAGAAGGCCUUCGGGUUGUAAAGCCCUGUUGUUGGGAAAGAAAAGCAGCAGGUUAAUACCCCGAUGUUCUGACGGUACCCAAAGAAUAAGCACCGGCUAACUUCGUG
RNAcentral lists this ribosomal RNA (492 nucleotides) under uncultured bacterium. RNAcentral describes it as "partial 16S ribosomal RNA". It matches the Rfam family "Bacterial small subunit ribosomal RNA", at positions 29 to 507 of the family's 1533-position model. The record is from RNAcentral.